Leopardus geoffroyi (Geoffroy's cat) is the source of this 3097-nucleotide long non-coding RNA. RefSeq lists it as uncharacterized. The transcript is spliced from 2 exons. NCBI's taxonomy places the organism in Eukaryota, Metazoa, Chordata, Mammalia, Carnivora, Felidae. The record is from RefSeq and is a predicted model, not a curated record.
CCGUCUGGGUGAUCAGACUACUUUUAACAUUUUUUGGAAAAGGACAGUUUCUUUACAAUUUGUGAAACUGCUUUUCUUGGAGGUUUUUCUCCUCAAUGAUGGACAGCAGGCUAAGUUUCUCCCCGUGUGUUUAAUUCCUCUUGGGUAUUUCAUCCAUGUUACUCACAUAUUUUGCUGGUUUGGGCAUAAAAACUUCAAUCGUUUCAGUUUGUUUGAAACCAGCUGUUCAUGCUAAUGCCGGUUUCUUUCAGUGGAUUCCAGGGUCUGGGUAUCAAGUCUGUUCUACUGUCCAUUAUGAAUUGUGAAUUGUACGCUACUCAUUUGAGUGCUGCUCAAAGCAGUUGCAGCAGACCUCAGAGAAUGUGGCUCCCCAGGACUACCUGGGUAAGGGGCCCACGGGGAAAGGACGUAAGGACGCAAAGGCAACUGUCAAUGAUUAUCACAUUGACUUUAUGUCAGGUUGCAGGGGGAGCAUGUGCUGGGCGUGCUGGUGACUCCCAGCUGAGAGCUGUUGAGGCUUGCCUCUGGACAGGAUAGACUUGGGGAGUCAGGACAACCACAGAGGAAGUAUAAUUUCGAGACCUGUUGGGAAUUGGCUCCAGAAGUGGAAAUGGGAUGAUUGGAGGAAAUCCGUGAACAGACCAGAACAGCAAAUGAAAGGCCUUGUAAACAGGGAAAUGUGCAUUUUAAUUGUUUUGUUUUGUUUUGUUUUUUCGUGUUAACUCUCAAUUCCAUAGAACUAAAGCCACUUUCCAUGCUCUCAACCAUAUAACCAAGGAGAGGGAAGUACAUUAAACCAUGUGAUUUUUUAAAAGGGAAAUUUCUUACCUCCCGGAGGUAGAUAAUGCAGGGACUAUCAAGUGGUGGUUUUGCUUUUUACUGCAGAAAAAUGUCCCUUCUCCCAGGUUUCUGCUAAGCACUCUAAGUUAUUUUUACUGUGAGAAGAGACUGUCACACCACCUCUUGGUAUCAUGAUUUCUGUUGGCCCCUCAAACAGUCGAUUCUAGGUUAAGCCCAUAUGGUAUGAAUCUGUGGUGAAGAUAGUCUCCAAAGCCCAGUAACUUCUCAUUUUUCCCAGAGCCCUGUGGUCCUGCUCCUGACUGCUGCUCUGUGUUCCUAAAGAAAAACAGUAGAGUCCAAUCUCUGUUUUGAAGUUUCGGUGGUUGGUUGACCAGAUGCUGUGAUGCUGUGCUUCAGGGUCCCCGCCAACACAGAAGAGACGGCAACUUUUUCCAUGUUCCUGACAGAUUGGAAGGUGUUUUUUUCACAUUCUCUGCUUCAGAUCUCUCCCUGGAAAGUGUUGCUAUGGAAGAGCAUAUGGUUUUAUUUGGUGGAAAUGUGCAGAGAAAUUGAAGGAAGUCAUACGCAUGCACGGCAAACACUGGAAUUAAGGAGGGCUCCUGACGAUAACUGGGAUACUGGUCCACCUGCUUGGGUGGUAACCCAGGAAGCAAGGGAAAGAGUCAGACAGCCAGAAGUUUAAUCGGAUCUGCCACUUGCUUGCCAGGUGACUUUGGGCAAGUUACUGGGCCCUGACUGACCUUUUUUUCUUCCCUGUCUCUCAAAAAGAGAACAUUACCCUUACUGUGCAUUGCUCUUGCUGAGAGACAACAAGGUAACAGGUCAUGAGCACCAUAGUAACUGCUCAGUAAAUGGUAGCCACCAUUAGGGAGUGGUGAGGCAGUCGCAUUUAUGCCCCAAGGAUAUGGGUUCAGUCAUCAAGCUAUCUUUUGGCCUUUGAAGUUUGGAGCGCUUUGGGGAAGCCAGGGGUGUUCCGUGCUGGCCAAACUUGGUUUUGUGUACAUUUGUCAUCAGACUGGACAAUUGCUGAAAAAUGUAUACCUCAGCUGUCAAGGGAAUUAAAAAGGUCACCCCCUGCAAGCAGUAAGGUCUUCCUGAGUCUCAGCAAGUUGGCGACACUGUCAGGUGGAACAGUGCAGCCCUCUCAACAUGUGGUUUUGAACCCCGCCCCCCACCUUCAUGUUGUCAGCCCUGGUCAGCAUAGGCCUCAGCACCUCUGAGAGAACAGAAGACUCGUCUCCCAAGUGCUCACACCUGCUACCUACCCUGAAUGAACCCUUUGGGAGGGAGGAUGAUUAUAAUUGUAAUGUUUUAAAAUCUUCCUUGAAAUAUUCAGGUUUAAUUCAUGUAGAUCAAAAUCUGCCAGGAAAAUGCUCCACAUGCACUUUGCAUAUGCAUUCUGGAAGAUUCACAGACCUGUUGAAAGGCUGCCUGCCACACCAUACCCCCAGCCCCUUUCUCGAGUACACGCACUAGAGGUUGGCAGAAGACGCUGAGAACCUGCGCGAACCUUUAUCAAGUUACUGGAUCUAACUGGGCGUCUUGUUUUCUGAUCUGGAAAAUGAAGAUACUGGAUUAGGUGAUUGCCAAAGUCCUUCUAGACUCUAAAUGGCUAUGACAGUAUAUCAUUCAUGCGUCUUGAAUAGAAUACAAGAGGUUUCUUUCAGCAUUCUAGACUGUUGAUGUUCUAACCUACGUUAGGAAACGAUGAGAAAAAAGCCUGUAUCCUCCCUCAACCUGAGUGUUCUAGUUCCUCUCAGCUCCUCGAAGGGCCUUCAAAAAGAAGCAUCUAAAAUACAGUGACUCACCCAUGCUUUUCAUGGGCAUGGGGCCUUGCCCCAAGCCGGGGACUCCACAGUUGGGCAAACUGUUCCUCACCCUGUUAGGACAUGCAUAGGGCUGAUUGAAUGAACUUUUGUCUUUGCCUCUUUCUUAACACCUUCAUUAUGACUGAAGUCACUUUUUUAAAAACGAAUAAAUGGUGGAAAAGGGAAGGGGGACCUAACCAAUUUUGUUUUUAAACUACACACCAUAAAACUGUGUCCUUAUUCUGUGUAUAAUUCAAUUGAAGUGUUUUUUUCUAACAAAAUUAAGGGACAUAUGUUCACUCAUUCAGUGUACAUAAUAGAAUGGUCAAGGUAUGUGUUUAGACAGGAAAUGUGUAAAUCUCGUUUUAUAUAUGUAUUAUUGCUAGAAUCCUAAAGGUGAAAAAAGUGUCUGGCAAAUGGGUACUGUACCAUCAUCUCCUUAGUGCAAUAAAUAUCACCUCUCACAUUACAGACAUUAGCAAGUUUAA